Long non-coding RNA from Oncorhynchus tshawytscha (Chinook salmon), 2440 nucleotides. NCBI's taxonomy places the organism in Eukaryota, Metazoa, Chordata, Actinopteri, Salmoniformes, Salmonidae. The record is from Ensembl.
AGUGGGGCCAUUAUCCCAGUCUCUAAUGUAGCCCAGUGGGGCCAUUAUCCCAGUCUCUAAGGUAGCCCAGUGGGGCCAUUAUCCCAGUCUCUAAUGUAGCCCAGUGGUGCCAUUAUCCCAGUCUCGAAUGUAGCCCAGUGGGGCCAUUAUCCCAGUCUCUAAUGUAGCCCAGUGGGGCCAUUAUCCCAGUCUCUAAUGUAGCCCAGUGGGGCCAUUAUCCCAGUCUCUAAUGUAGCCCAUUGGGGCCAUUAUCCCAGUCUGUAAGGUAGCCCAGUGGGGCCAUUAUCCCAGUCUCUAAUGUAGCCCAGUGGGGCCAUUAUCCCUGUCUCUAAUGUAGCCCAGUGGGGCCAUUAUCCCAAUCUCUAAGGUAGCCCAGUGGGGCCAUUAUCCCAGUCUCGAAUGUAGCCCAGUGGGGCCAUUAUCCCAGUCUCUAAUGUAGCCCAGUGGUGCCAUUAUCCCAGUCUGUAAGGUAGCCCAGUGGGGCCAUUAUCCCAGUCUCUAAUGUAGCCCAGUGGUGCCAUUAUCCCAGUCUGUAAGGUAGCCCAGUGGGGCCAUUAUCCCAGUCUCUAAGGUAGCCUAGGUGAUAUGCUGCUAUUUAUUUUCUAUUAUGCGAGUUUAAUGUGAUUUUCCAAUUAUACAACAGCAUGUGGGGAAGCAACUGAGGUAAAGGACUUAUUGGUUAAAUAUGAUUGAGUUGUAGAUUCCAGAGUAAUUCUUUACGCUCACAAAUAGAGCAUGGUUUACUGAUAAUAAUGGUAUAAUAAUGAUUCAAUGUGAUAAUGGUGAUAAUGGUAUAAUAAUGAUUCAAUGUGAUAAUGGUGAUAAUGGUAUAAUAAUGAUUCAAUGUGAUAAUGGUACAAUAAUGAUUCAAUGUCAUAAUGGUAUAAUAAUGAUUCAAUGUGAUAAUGGUGAUAAUGGUAUAAUAAUGAUUCAAUGUGAUAAUGGUAUAAUAAUGAUUCAAUGUGAUAAUGGUGAUAAUGGUAUAAUAAUGAUUCAAUGCGAUAAUGGUGAUAAUGGUCCAAUAAUGAUUCAAUGUGAUAAUGGUGCUAAUGGUAUAAUAAUGAUUCAAUGUGAUAAUGGUGAUAAUGGUAUAAUAAUGAUUCAAUGUGAUAAUGGUAUAAUAAUGAUUCAAUGUGAUAAUGGUGAUAAUGGUAUAAUAAUGAUUCAAUGUGAUAAUGGUAUAAUAAUGAUUCAAUGUGAUAAUGGUGAUAAUGGUAUAAUAAUGAUUCAAUGUGAUAAUGGUGAUAAUGGUCCAAUAAUGAUUCAAUGUGAUAACGGUGAUAACGGUAUAAUAAUGAUUCAAUGUGAUAACGGUGAUAAUGGUAUAAUAAUGAUUCAAUGUGAUAAUGAUGCUAAUGGUAUAAUAAUGAUUCGAUGUGAUAAUGGUGAUAAUGGUAUAAUAAUGAUUCUAUCUAAUGAUGGUUGAGGUAUGGAUGAUUGUCCACAACACAUUUCUCCUUCCUCCCCUAGCAGUCGAUCACUCUGUUCAUGGAAGAACCAAUCAUUAUGCCUCAGUAAAAGGGUAGCUUUUAGGACUUAAGAGGUCAUAGUACCAUUAGUUAUACACAUGUCCUUCGUCCACCCUUUUACUAUGCUGCACUACACCAAGGUAAAAAGCCAUGACCAGUAUUGAUUUGUGUUCAUCAGUGUUUGUAGUUGUUCUGUUAUGAACCUUAUUAACCAAGAUUUCCUAACCCUAUCCAAGACAUUAAUGAAACAGCCACUGGUAAACGUAUAUCAUCACAACUCCCAUUUAGUUAAAAAUAUAUAUAUAUGUUUUAUUCUUGUUUUGUCCUGUUUGGCAUUCUGAAUGUAUUUAGGCGUUCUUGUUGCAGUCUUUCUCAAGUCUCUGUGACCUUUUAGCAGUGAUAAUCCUCCAUGAGUAUAAUGCACCAUGCAGCUGUUCCCCUCUGCUCUGACUGAUGAUUUGACUUGUAUGACAGCCUGCUGGCGCUCUUUGAUGAUGUGUGCCCACGCGUAGGGUUGCAGGGGAGCCUUGUCAGCCGUUUACUUGGCUCACGGAGAGGAGUGUGACUCCUGACUCCUUAGAUAACAGCAUGACAAAAAAACAGAACAAAUAGAACCUACUAGAACUUCGGUUAUGUCAACAGUCAAUCCCAUCACUUGAAGCACACAGGAGGUUUGAGAUUCACCCUCUGAAGAAAAACCUAGUGUCAAAGAUCAAUAGUAAGAAGUUCCCUCGCAGGGGUAUUUUUCCUGUUCUUUGAGAUGGGAGAGAUUAUAGCUCUAUCAUAGUAUUUUACCUCUUUUAUUUGUUUUACACAGAUGGAUUUCCUUGGCAGAAAUCUAUUACAGUAUACUCCCUUCCCACUCUAUCUCACUAUCUCUCUCUCUCUCUUUCUGCAUGCUGGGAGUGUUUGGUGCAUGCUGGGAAUUGUAAGUGAUAAUGCCCGAGAAGCUGCAGGGGGCAUUAUCACUU